RNAcentral lists this ribosomal RNA (248 nucleotides) under uncultured bacterium. Its description in RNAcentral is "partial 16S ribosomal RNA". It matches the Rfam family "Bacterial small subunit ribosomal RNA", at positions 529 to 776 of the family's 1533-position model. The record is from RNAcentral.
AGGGGGCAAGCGUUGUCCGGAUUUACUGGGCGUAAAGAGCGUGUAGGCGGCCACGCAGGUCCGUUGUGAAAACUGGAGGCUCAACCUCCAGCUGUUGACGGAAACCGUAUGGCUAGAGUCCGGAAGAGGAGAGUGGAAUUCCUGGUGUAGCGGUGAAAUGCGCAGAUAUCAGGAAGAACACCAAUGGCGAAGGCAGCUCUCUGGGACGGUACUGACGCUGAGACGCGAAAGCGUGGGGAGUGAACAGG